Molecule: ribosomal RNA, 1356 nt
Filed under: Curtobacterium pusillum
Lineage: Bacteria; Bacillati; Actinomycetota; Actinomycetes; Micrococcales; Microbacteriaceae
Description: bacterial SSU rRNA
Rfam family: Bacterial small subunit ribosomal RNA
Source: RNAcentral
UCGAACGAUGAUGCCCAGCUUGCUGGGUGGAUUAGUGGCGAACGGGUGAGUAACACGUGAGUAACCUGCCCCUGACUCUGGGAUAAGCGUUGGAAACGACGUCUAAUACUGGAUAUGAUCACUGGCCGCAUGGUCUGGUGGUGGAAAGAUUUUUUGGUUGGGGAUGGACUCGCGGCCUAUCAGCUUGUUGGUGAGGUAAUGGCUCACCAAGGCGACGACGGGUAGCCGGCCUGAGAGGGUGACCGGCCACACUGGGACUGAGACACGGCCCAGACUCCUACGGGAGGCAGCAGUGGGGAAUAUUGCACAAUGGGCGAAAGCCUGAUGCAGCAACGCCGCGUGAGGGAUGACGGCCUUCGGGUUGUAAACCUCUUUUAGUAGGGAAGAAGCGAAAGUGACGGUACCUGCAGAAAAAGCACCGGCUAACUACGUGCCAGCAGCCGCGGUAAUACGUAGGGUGCAAGCGUUGUCCGGAAUUAUUGGGCGUAAAGAGCUCGUAGGCGGUUUGUCGCGUCUGCUGUGAAAUCCCGAGGCUCAACCUCGGGCUUGCAGUGGGUACGGGCAGACUAGAGUGCGGUAGGGGAGAUUGGAAUUCCUGGUGUAGCGGUGGAAUGCGCAGAUAUCAGGAGGAACACCGAUGGCGAAGGCAGAUCUCUGGGCCGUAACUGACGCUGAGGAGCGAAAGCAUGGGGAGCGAACAGGAUUAGAUACCCUGGUAGUCCAUGCCGUAAACGUUGGGCGCUAGAUGUAGGGACCUUUCCACGGUUUCUGUGUCGUAGCUAACGCAUUAAGCGCCCCGCCUGGGGAGUACGGCCGCAAGGCUAAAACUCAAAGGAAUUGACGGGGGCCCGCACAAGCGGCGGAGCAUGCGGAUUAAUUCGAUGCAACGCGAAGAACCUUACCAAGGCUUGACAUACACCGGAAACGGCCAGAGAUGGUCGCCCCCUUGUGGUCGGUGUACAGGUGGUGCAUGGUUGUCGUCAGCUCGUGUCGUGAGAUGUUGGGUUAAGUCCCGCAACGAGCGCAACCCUCGUUCUAUGUUGCCAGCGGGUUAUGCCGGGGACUCAUAGGAGACUGCCGGGGUCAACUCGGAGGAAGGUGGGGAUGACGUCAAAUCAUCAUGCCCCUUAUGUCUUGGGCUUCACGCAUGCUACAAUGGCCGGUACAAAGGGCUGCGAUACCGUAAGGUGGAGCGAAUCCCAAAAAGCCGGUCUCAGUUCGGAUUGAGGUCUGCAACUCGACCUCAUGAAGUCGGAGUCGCUAGUAAUCGCAGAUCAGCAACGCUGCGGUGAAUACGUUCCCGGGCCUUGUACACACCGCCCGUCAAGUCAUGAAAGUCGGUAACACCCGAAGCCG